Molecule: ribosomal RNA, 300 nt
Filed under: Lippia origanoides
Lineage: Eukaryota; Viridiplantae; Streptophyta; Magnoliopsida; Lamiales; Verbenaceae
Description: bacterial SSU rRNA
Rfam family: Bacterial small subunit ribosomal RNA
Source: RNAcentral
GCAGGACACAGGUGCGUGCAUGGCUGUCGUCAGCUCGUGCCGUAAGGUGUUGGGUUAAGUCCCGCAACGAGCGCAACCCUCGUGUUUAGUUGCCAUCUUUGAAUUGGGAACCCUGAAGGGACUGCCGGUGAUAAGCCGAAAGAAGGGGGGGAAGAACUCCAGUUCUCCUGGCCCUUUUGCGGUGGGCGAACCCCCGGCUAAAAUGGGCGGGAAAAGGGGGCGCGAUCCGACGAGGGUGAACUAACCCCAAAAACCCCUCCUCAGUUCGGAUUGCACUCUGCAACUCGCCUGCAUGAAGCC